AAUGAACGUUGGCGGCGUGGAUUAGGCAUGCAAGUCGAGCGAGAAUUUGCGAUUGGAAGCUUCGGCCGAAGAAAGUGAAGGAAGCGGCAAACGGCGUAGUAAGGCGUAGGUACGUACCCUCGGGUCGGGAAUAGCCAUGGGAAACUGUUGGGUAAUGCCCGAUAAUCUCUGCGGAGCAAAGGUGGUGAUUCCGCCGGAGGAGCGGCUUACGUGAUAGUUAGCUAGUUGGUGGGGUAAUGGGCCUACCAAGGCAACGAUGUCUGGGGGGUGUGAGAGCAUGGCCCCCCACGACCGGAACUGAGGACACUGUCCGGACACCUACGGGUGGCUGCAGUCGAGAAUCUUCCGCAAGUGGGCGAAAGCCUGACGGAGCGACGCCGCGUGGUGGAUGAAGGCCCUUGGGGUUGUAAACACCUGUCAGAGGGGAUGAAAUCAUGGUUGGCAAUCCUUCCAUGUUGACAGA
RNAcentral lists this ribosomal RNA (463 nucleotides) under uncultured bacterium. RNAcentral's name for it is "bacterial SSU rRNA". It matches the Rfam family "Bacterial small subunit ribosomal RNA", at positions 29 to 476 of the family's 1533-position model. The record is from RNAcentral.